UUACUUUAUCAAUAAUAUCAAAGUACACAUUAUUUAUGUCACAAUAACAAAAAAAAAUUACAUAAUAACGAUACACAAUUGAUCAAACACUUCUAAUUUCUACAAAGCUUCGUUGACGAAAAGUAAUCUAACGCAUUGGUUAACUGCAUCUUGACAUCUUGUUCAGCUAUUCCUGUUAAGAUAAUAAAAAACAAUAUUAUUCUAUAUACACAAAC
This 215-nucleotide long non-coding RNA is filed under the name Salvia miltiorrhiza (redroot sage). RNAcentral's name for it is "long non-coding RNA (SMIL_LNC000076)". Lineage: Eukaryota; Viridiplantae; Streptophyta; Magnoliopsida; Lamiales; Lamiaceae. The record is from RNAcentral.